CCUACGGGAGGCAGCAGUGAGGAAUAUUGGUCAAUGGGCGGAAGCCUGAACCAGCCAAGUAGCGUGCAGGAUGACGGCCCUACGGGUUGUAAACUGCUUUUAUACGGGAAUAACGCGCCUUACGUGUAGGUCUUUGCAUGUACCGUAUGAAUAAGGACCGGCUAAUUCCGUGCCAGCAGCCGCGGUAAUACGGAGGGUCCGGGCGUUAUCCGGAUUUAUUGGGUUUAAAGGGGGCGUAGGCGGUCUGUUAAGGGUGCUGUGAAAGGUCCGGGCUCAACCCGGGCCUUGCAGCGCGAACUGGCGGGCUUGAGUGCGCGGAAGGCAGGCGGAAUGCGUGGUGUAGCGGUGAAAUGCUUAGAUAUGACGAAGAACCCCGAUUGCGAAGGCAGCUUGCU
This 395-nucleotide ribosomal RNA is filed under the name uncultured bacterium. RNAcentral describes it as "partial 16S ribosomal RNA". It matches the Rfam family "Bacterial small subunit ribosomal RNA", at positions 338 to 730 of the family's 1533-position model. The record is from RNAcentral.